Molecule: long non-coding RNA, 268 nt
Organism: Suricata suricatta (meerkat)
Lineage: Eukaryota; Metazoa; Chordata; Mammalia; Carnivora; Herpestidae
Exons: 2
Source: RefSeq, a predicted model, not a curated record
GUGUGGCAUAUGGGAGAGAGGCAGCGCCCCAUAUGAUGAAAAGAACUCGUGGUUACUGUGGUUUCAUUACUCUUCCCAGGCGCUUUAGAAAUGAUACCUGUGAGGAGUGAAAUUUAGUUUGGAGAAAGCACCAUAUCAAGAAAUCUGCUGGCAUCACCCCAAAGAAGAGAUUAUAUUUUUCCUUUGGCUUGGGCAUAGUCCCCCCUCCCCCCCUCUUUGAGUGUGACUGCUUCAUCUUUCUUUGGAAGAAAAUAAAGUCUCAGCACAG